UUAGUGUUGGAGCUAGGGUUAGGGUUGGGCUUGGAGCUAGGAUUUUUCUGAGUGCACUGAACCAACUCCCGAGUCUCUAGGACGUUCCUAAAAAAUUUGAUUUUUUUCCCAUAGGAAUGCAUGGGUUAGGGUUAGGGUUAGGGUUGGAGCUAGGGUUAGGGUUAGGGUUAGGGUUGGAGUUAGGGUUAGUGUUGGAGCUAGGGUUAGGGUUGGGCUUGGAGCUAGGAUUUUUCUGAGUGCACUGAACCAACUCCCGAGUCUCUAGGACGUUCCUAAAAAAAUUUUGAUUUUUUCCCAUAGGAAUGCAUGGGUUAGGGUUAGGGUUAGGGUUAGGGUUGGAGCUAGGGUUAGGGUUAGGGUUAGGGUUGGAGUUAGGGUUAGUGUUGGAGCUAGGGUUAGGGUUGGGCUUGGAGCUAGGAUUUUUCUGAGUGCAAUGAACCAACUCCCGAGUCUCUAGGACGUUCCUAAAAAAAUUUGAUUUUUUCCCAUAGGAAUGCAUGGGUUAGGGUUAGGGUUAGGGUUAGGGUUGGAGCUAGGGUUAGGGUUAGGGUUAGGGUUGGAGUUAGGGUUAGUGUUGGAGCUAGGGUUAGGGUUGGGGUUAGGGUUGGAGUUAGGGUUAGUGUUGGAGCUAGGGUUAGGGUUGGGCUUGGAGCUAGGAUUUUUCUGAGUGCACUGAACCAACUCCCGAGUCUCUAGGACGUUCCUAAAAAAAUUUGAUUUUUUCCCAUAGGAAUGCAUGGGUUAGGGUUAGGGUUAGGGUUAGGGUUGGAGCUAGGGUUAGGGUUAGGGUUAGGGUUGGAGUUAGGGUUAGUGUUGGAGCUAGGGUUAGGGUUGGGCUUGGAGCUAGGAUUUUUCUGAGUGCAAUGAACCAACUCCCGAGUCUCUAGGACGUUCCUAAAAAAAUUUGAUUUUUUCCCAUAGUAAUGCAUGGGUUAGGGUUAGGGUUAGGGUUGGAGCUAGGGUUAGGGUUAGGGUUAGGGUUGGAGUUAGGGUUAGUGUUGGAGCUAGGGUUAGGGUUGGGCUUGGAGCUAGGAUUUUUCUGAGUGCAAUGAACCAACUCCCGAGUCUCUAGGACGUUCCUAAAAAAAUUUGAUUUUUUCCCAUAGUAAUGCAUGGGUUAGGGUUAGGGUUAGGGUUGGAGCUAGGGUUAGGGUUAGGGUUAGGGUUGGAGUUAGGGUUAGUGUUGGAGCUAGGGUUAGGGUUGGGCUUGGAGCUAGGAUUUUUCUGAGUGCACUGAACCAACUCCCGAGUCUCUAGGACGUUCCUAAAAAAAUUUGAUUUUUUCCCAUUGGAAUGCAUGGGUUAGGGUUAGGGUUAGGGUUGGAGCUAGGGUUAGGGUUAGGGUUAGGGUUGGAGUUAGGGUUAGUGUUGGAGCUAGGGUUAGGGUUGGGCUUGGAGCUAGGAUUUUUCUGAGUGCACUGAACCAACUCCCGAGUCUCUAGGACGUUCCUAAAAAAAUUUGAUUUUUUCCCAUAGGAUUGCAUGGGUUAGGGUUAGGGUUAGGGUUAGGGUUGGAGCUAGGGUUAGGGUUAGGGUUAGGGUUGGAGUUAGGGUUAGUGUUGGAGCUAGGGUUAGGGUUGGGCUUGGAGCUAGGAUUUUUCUGAGUGCAAUGAACCAACUCCCGAGUCUCUAGGACGUUCCUAAAAAAAUUUGAUUUUUUCCCAUAGGAAUGCAUGGGUUAGGGUUAGGGUUAGGGUUGGAGCUAGGGUUAGGGUUAGGGUUGGAGUUAGGGUUAGUGUUGGAGCUAGGGUUAGGGUUGGGCUUGGAGCUAGGAUUUUUCUGAGUGCAAUGAACCAACUCCCGAGUCUCUAGGACGUUCCUAAAAAAAUUUGAUUUUUUCCCAUAGUAAUGCAUGGGUUAGGGUUAGGGUUAGGGUUGGAGCUAGGGUUAGGGUUAGGGUUAGGGUUGGAGUUAGGGUUAGUGUUGGAGCUAGGGUUAGGGUUGGGCUUGGAGCUAGGAUUUUUCUGAGUGCAAUGAACCAACUCCCAAGUCUCUAGGACGUUCCUAAAAAAAUUUGAUUUUUUCCCAUAGGAAUGCAUGGGUUAGGGUUAGGGUCAGGGUUAGGGUUGGAGCAAGGGUUAGGGUUAGGGUUAGGGUUGGAGUUAGGGUUAGUGUUGGAGCUAGGGUUAGGGUUGGGCUUGGAGCUAGGAUUUUUCUGAGUGCACUGAACCAACUCCCGAGUCUAUAGGACGUUCCUAAAAAAUUUGAUUUUUUCCCAUAGGAAUGCAUGGGUUAGGGUUAGGGUUAGGGUUGGAGCUAGGGUUAGGGUUAGGGUUAGGGUUGGAGUUAGGGUUAGUGUUGGAGCUAGGGUUAGGGUUGGGCUUGGAGCUAGGAUUUUUCUGAGUGCAAUGAACCAACUCCCGAGUCUCUAGGACAUUCCUAAAAAAAUUUGAUUUUUUCCCAUAGGAAUGCAUGGGUUAGGGUUAGGGUUAGGGUUGGAGCUAGGGUUAGGGUUAGGGUUAGGGUUGGAGUUAGGGUUAGUGUUGGAGCUAGGGUUAGGGUUGGGCUUGGAGCUAGGAUUUUUCGGAGUGCAAUGAACCAACUCCCGAGUCUCUAGGACGUUCCUAAAUAAUUUUUAUUUUUUCCCAUAGGAAUGCAUGGGUUAGGGUUAGGGUUAGGGUUGGAGCUAGGGUUAGGGUUAGGGUUAGGGUUGGAGUUAGGGUUAGUGUUGGAGCUAGGGUUAGGGUUGGGCUUGGAGCUAGGAUUUUUCUGAGUGCAAUGAACCAACUCCCGAGUCUCUAGGACGUUCCUAAAAAAAUUAGAUUUUUU
Molecule: long non-coding RNA, 2769 nt
Filed under: Xyrichtys novacula (pearly razorfish)
Lineage: Eukaryota; Metazoa; Chordata; Actinopteri; Labriformes; Labridae
Source: RNAcentral